GGCCUGAUGGUCUAGUGGUAUGAUUCUUGCUUUGGGUUCAUAACAGUCCUAACUGCAAGAGGCCCCGUGUUCGAUCCACGGUCAGGCCC
This is a non-coding RNA of Polychaeton citri CBS 116435, 89 nucleotides long. The record is from the annotation of a GenBank genome assembly. NCBI's taxonomy places the organism in Eukaryota, Fungi, Ascomycota, Dothideomycetes, Capnodiales, Capnodiaceae.